Long non-coding RNA from Alexandromys fortis (reed vole), 5517 nucleotides. RefSeq lists it as uncharacterized. The transcript has 17 exons. Lineage: Eukaryota; Metazoa; Chordata; Mammalia; Rodentia; Cricetidae. The record is from RefSeq and is a predicted model, not a curated record.
CCCUGGGGGCAAGACACAGUCACCUGGGUGGGGCUGCUGGUUCCAGAUUAUGGUCACUUCUCUCCCAGUGCUCUGGCCCGUACCUGUGUUUCUAAAACUGGUGGCAUCCCGAACCCAGGACGUGGGCUCUCCCCACCACCCUGCAUGGACUUGCCCAAUAAAUUCCACUUAGUAAUUUCACCGAGGCGAGGGAGAGCUGUUAGUGUCUGUUUUCUGACCUAAAUCAAGCGUGUGGCCAGUACGGGCUUCAAUGGAUAGAGAGGAGAGCUGUUGGCUUAGAGAAAGACCCACAGGAGGGACUUGCACACGGGACGGGGUAGGCAAGGCACGGUCUUAGUUUCCUGCAGGGCUUUCUGUGAGUCGGUUUGCCCUCUUCGGGCUACAUCGCCUCGCCUCGUAGUAGUGGAAGGGCUGAGGUUGGAGGGGGCUUUUCCCCCAACACUCCCUACAUUUUGUUCAGGGCUACUUAGAGGGAUCAUAUGGCAGCCUCCGUGGCUUCCUUCAAGGCCCAGGGUCAAGGCUUUCUGUCCUGUUCCUGUGGUCAUCCAGGGCAGAAAGAGGCAGGAUGCGACGACGCUGAGAAAUGCUGUUCUACGGGACGGGACCGUGGGGCUAGGUGCACGCAUGCAGUUCACAUGGUUCACGGAAAAGCCAAGAACAGGCAGCGGGUUCGAAAAGCUUGCCACAGAGUUCGCAGAGAUUCCUCUUGCCUUCCCACGAUGCCAGGAUCGCAAGUGCCCUGAAUUUGCGCUUCUAACAGAGUCAGACCUGUUUGUUGAUGAAAUGACCGGCUUGCUGACAAAGAGGGGCAUCAAUGGAGAGACAGAUCUAGGCCCUUCUUUGGCAUUUCGAAGAAGCUAGGGGAGACACGCGAUUUCGGGUGCUGUGGAUCAACUGCACGGAAGGAGCAGGAAGAAAGAGGGGAAAGACAGGCAUGCAGCCUGGUACCAGGAAUGUCACAGGACCAGAAGAAUCUAGCUGGAAUACUACAAUAGUCCUCUGCCCUCUAUCUGUUCGUCUCUUUGUGAGCAGCUACUGGAGAAACAACAUGAAGAGACUACGCUCUUUGUACUAGAAGCCUGUGAUAGUCAGGCUCUUCACACUGACUCUGAGACAUUCUUGACAAUUGAAUUGCCGGCUGGAUCCUCCCGGGAUGAAAGCAAAGAGUCUUGCCAGAUGAUGGGAUCAUGGUGCUGGACUCUUCGGCCUUCAAACUGACCAUUUUAAAUAUUCUGCAUCCUCUGUAAGCCCACAUGCAUUUUAAGAUCAUGCUAAUUUUUGGAAGGAAGACCAGAAUUCACUGCUAACCAGUUAAAGAAAAGAUAUACCAAUUAUCUAAAAUGUCUUCCAGAAGGUGGAAGCAGCAAAGGAAAUACAUCCCAGCUCAUUCAUGAGAACUGCAGUUGUUGAACCUCCUGUGAAUUUCCAUGGCUGUUGCCAGGUCAGGACAAAGCCACUUUCCUAGCUGUAGCCGUGGCAUUGGAGAGAACCCCCACCCCAUCCAAGGCUGUGCUUAAUAAGGUGCACUCGCAUUUUCAAACAAGGUCACAGACCAUCAAGGCAUCAGGAGCUUGAAGCAACUAGUCUCCUUACAUCCUAUCAGAAGAGGAAUGAACGCAUGGCUGCUUCCUAGUUCCUGUUCUCCAGACAUGUCAGAAGCCCAUCUAUCUCCCAGAUGAGUCUACUUCCUGUCAAACUGAUAAGGCGUUACAACGUUAACCAUUACAGCACCUCUCCAUUUUGAUGUAUUUCAGGUCUGUGGGAGCACACUGCAGGGUACAAUGUAACCGCACUACACCAUGGGCUAGUGAGAGCUGAGAGGAGCGACCAUGGCGGAGGAAGGGCACAAAGAAAGCAGCUCAAGACCAAGAUGAAGAGAUAGAGGAUCUGAUAAAACCUGCUCCAAGGUACUGACCAGACUUUGGUUUUAUAGAACGCCUUGAUGUGAAGCUGAGAGAGCGAGCGCCUUUGUUGGUGCCAGCGUGGGAAAGGUCUGAGCAGCAAGAGACAAGGACCCACGGAUGAAAUGAGGUGUCUGCCUUGGUGGUGAGAUGACGUGGCUGUCUUGGGAUCCAGAUCUCCUUUUCAUGUGGUUAUCUACAUGUUGGUAAGGCUGGAGCUGAGGACAGGUGGGUGGAGGAGAACAUUUGGCUGCCACGGUAACACGUUCUGCUAUGUACAGAGCUCUUCGGAGAACUGGGCCUCUAGUACAGUCACUCUGAUUUUCUCUAUCUGAUAUAUAAAAAGAUGGGGGCUCCUGGGACUCCAACUCUUGCAGACUGACCUUAACUAGACAGUAAGUACAAGCUAGAAGCCCGGCUCUGCACAGUCCUGUAUAGCUUACCAGGCGGCACACAACAAAGCCUUCUGUCUAUCAUUCACUGCCCCCUGGUGGAACACACAGGAAACAACAGCAUCUAGAACAAUCGCCUGGACAAUGAUCUCUUUUUCCUACAGGGGCGGAGGCAAAGCUGCUCUAUGUGGCCAGGUGGAAGGCUGCAAUGGCUUGCAGUGAGAGGGAAGAAGACAGAACUGAGGCUGGAGAAAAGUGUAGCUGAGCUGAAGAUGCAGGUCUUACGUGUGCUGUCAGAACAGGAUGGAGAGAGAUUUGGGGAGCUGAGAUUUAGAACCAAAUGGAGACAGACAUACCAGGCAGGAUCAGCAGAAAGCUGUCUUCAAUGACACGAGCACCUUCACACCUGCAGCCACAACUGACUCCAGUACAAGUACAGCCUCUGGCAGAAACACAGCGGUAAGAAGUGGCAAGGUAUGAAAGUGCCCCAACUCCUAGCAGGUCUUCUGCAGCAAAGGGAAACGGGAAAUGACAGCGCACUUGCCAGAGCAAGCAUGCUCUGUGAAGCCACAGGGCUCCCUUACUCCCUGUGCCCAAAGGACAGAGAAGUCCUGGAUGUAGAAAAUCUUGCUCUUCUUUUUAUUCUUUGGCUUUAAUAAGAAAAGAUCCUGUUUUAAUUUUGAGCUUAAAAAAAAAAGCUAACAAAAGCAGGCUGUUCUCUUUGUUUAGCACCAUGUGAAAUCAUUACUAAGACGUCAGUUUUCUAUUGUCUAGGUAGUAGAUUGUAGUUAUUUAGUUUUACAAGGACUUCUUUGGCCAAGAAAUCUGUCCAUUUGGAAAAGAAUAGUAUUGCAUACUAUUAUGCAGAUUUGCACAUGCUACAAUUGUGGUGCCUUUCAGUCUGAAGGAAUCAAAUGCUGGGUUCUUUUUACUGAAGACCAAGGUCUUGGUUGGCUGCACCCCGAUUUGUGAAAGACAGCCGCUUUCUUUCACUCAGACGGCAGGCACACUGGAAGGACAGAAGGAGCAAACGGCUAGAGCCUCUCAACCUGCUCCCCACAGUGAGCGAGAAAAGGAAGAAAGGAGAGAAUAAAGGAAGCAAGUUACAUGAGGAUUUUGGCCUCGAACCUGCUGAGUCUCCAUCUUCACUUCUGGAUUCUGCUGCAGUUAAGUUCUCUAACCCUUGCCAAUGAAUGGCCCUCCCGCCUUCACCCUCGGCUCGGACGUCCCGUUGUGCUCCCCAAAGCGUAUUCUAAAGAGAAAGCGUCAUUCUUAGCCACACACUGAAGUAGGAAAACAACCCAAAAUCAGAUCUACCUGACAAUGAAAAUCGAAAUACUCCUUUUACUACAUGAACUUGAUUCUUCCAGGUGGACUUUGUGCUACACCUGUGGAACUAGUUCAAAGCACGGUCAUCACUCAGCUACUCAAGUAUUUCCAUCACUCUAUGGACUCAAAGAUGCAAUGUACUCUCGAGGAAUCAGCAUUAUUAUACAGAAAAUAAGGAACUGUAAAAGAAACCAUGUCAAUACAGGUCCAGAUGAUGCAUGUAAGGUGCUUAAUUUACCUAACAAAAUAAGCAUUAAGUACUUAAAUGAGUAUUCAAUAAAUGGUUAAGCAGGGUUCUUAGUAGCAUUUGAGACAAUCUUAGUGAAUGUACAAUAUUGUGCUUGGUGAGGAUGGGACGCCAUGCUGACUGGAAGGAAUAGCUUACAUAAAAAUACAAAGAACUGGGGCUGGAGAGAUGUCUCAGCAGUUAAGAGCGCUGGCUGCCUUUCCAGAGGACCCUGGUUCAAUUCCCAGCACCCACCCUCCCAGCAGUUCACAGCUGUCUAUACAUUCAGUUCCAGGAGAUGCAACACCCUCACACAGACAUGCAGGCAGGCAAAACACCAAUGCACAUAAAACAAAUUAUUUUUUUUUUAAAUACAAAUAAAGUGUGACAGGCAAGAUGGCUCAGUGGAUAAAGGUAACUCUAUUUUAGCAGAACAGACCAGAUCAUGAAAGGCUUCAAGUAUUAGAGUAACAAACACACACACACACUCCAUUCUCUUGGAAAGGUGGGGGGGGGCAUUUUUGUAAUGCUGAGGAUGAAAGGGCUCUGUGUCUGCCAGGAAAGUGUGCUAGACCCCGAGCCCUUAGAAUCUUCAGAAAAAAAAAUCUACAACAGCAGUGUGUAUGAAAAUUGUUUAUUUGAAAGACUGGCAAGUCUAGAUAAGGAGUAGUCACCGAUUUAAGCUGGGCUGGCAGCAGUGGGAAGAGAAAGGGAGCUGCAGUGCAUAGGGAGGGAGCUCAAUAGGACUUUCUGGCUACUUGGAUCAUGGGGGAGAGUGAGGGGGAUGAAAGAGUGCGGCUGAAACCUGGAAAAGUGGAAGAUCUGGGGAGAAGAAAUCAGGGCCUUUGUUCGGUGCAAGAGUGUAUGCUUAAUCUGUGCAGCACCAAAAAGAAAAAAGGGCCAUAAGGAAGAAGAAAUGAAAAGGUGGGGCAGGAUGGACUUUGGAGUAUAUGGAAGAAAUGCUAAAAAGUGUUAAAUCUCAUAAAGCAAUGUGUCACCUGGCUGUGGUGGCACAUGACUUUAAUCCCAGCACCAGGGGCAGAAGCAGGCAGAUCUCUGUGAGGGCAAGGCUGGCCUGGUCUACUGGUUUAUGUGUCAAGACCCUGUCUCAAACACCACACACACACUUCUAUAUAAAAAUAAAGAUGAGCCAGGCAGUGGUGACGCACGCCUUUAAUCUCAGCACUUGGGAGGUAGAAGCAGGCAGAUCUCUGCGAGUUUGAGCCCAGUCUGGUCUACAGAGUGAGUUCCAGGACAGCCAGUUCGGUUACACAGAGAAACCCUGUGUCAAAAAUAAAAAAAAAAAUUAAGAAGUUAUGAGUGGCUUAAGUAGCCAGGGUAAUAUGAAUGAAACAGUUGGAUAUAACAUAACUUCUGGAUAUAACUUUGUUUUCAAAACUAAACUUCUAUUUCCCUUUUUACACCCUUUCCCCAUUUUUACACCUGUCCCUAUUGCACAAGUCAGAAACCUAAGAGCUAUUUCUGUGCCUUUCCAUUCCUUCAGCUGCAGAUCCAAUCCAUUAGCAAUUUCAAUCAGCACCAUCUCCAAGACAAUCUAAAAGGCACCUGCCUCUCCCACAGUUCCUACCCCAGACUGGCAAACAUUACUUCUGGUCUGAACUCACAUAACUAUAUAUCUGAUUUUUCCUUCUGUGUGUGUGUGUGUGUG